This is a small nuclear RNA of Egretta garzetta (little egret), 165 nucleotides long. RefSeq annotates it as U1 spliceosomal RNA. Lineage: Eukaryota; Metazoa; Chordata; Aves; Pelecaniformes; Ardeidae. The transcript has a single exon. The record is from RefSeq and is a predicted model, not a curated record.
AUACUUACCUAGCAUGGAAAGACGACAGCCUCAUCAAGGAGGUGGUUUUCCUAGGGUGAGGCUCAUCUCCUGCAUUCCUAGAGUGCUGAUUUUUAAUUUUUCCAAAAGCAGGAAAUUCAGCUGCACCAUUUGUGGUUAACUGGGCCAUGUUCACUCUCUUCCCGU